Molecule: transfer RNA, 72 nt
Filed under: Camelus bactrianus (Bactrian camel)
Lineage: Eukaryota; Metazoa; Chordata; Mammalia; Artiodactyla; Camelidae
Also listed under: 2 other names
Rfam family: tRNA
About the family: Transfer RNA (tRNA) molecules are approximately 80 nucleotides in length. Their secondary structure includes four short double-helical elements and three loops (D, anti-codon, and T loops).
Source: Rfam by way of RNAcentral
AAGGGUAUAGCUCAGCACUAGAGUGCAUGCCUAGAAUGCAGAAGGUUCUGGGUUCAAUCCCCAGUAUCUCCA